RNAcentral lists this transfer RNA (76 nucleotides) under Agriterribacter soli. RNAcentral's name for it is "Terrimonas sp. NS-102 tRNA-Ile". It matches the Rfam family "tRNA". Rfam says of the family: Transfer RNA (tRNA) molecules are approximately 80 nucleotides in length. Their secondary structure includes four short double-helical elements and three loops (D, anti-codon, and T loops). Lineage: Bacteria; Pseudomonadati; Bacteroidota; Chitinophagia; Chitinophagales; Chitinophagaceae. The record is from RNAcentral.
GAUGACUCAGCUCAAUUGAUAGAGCACUAUCCUGAUACGAUAGCGGUUGACAGUUCAAUUCUGUCAGUCAUCACUA